This 468-nucleotide ribosomal RNA is filed under the name uncultured bacterium. RNAcentral describes it as "partial 16S ribosomal RNA". It matches the Rfam family "Bacterial small subunit ribosomal RNA", at positions 28 to 507 of the family's 1533-position model. The record is from RNAcentral.
GACGAACGCUGGCGGCGUGCUUAACACAUGCAAGUCGAACGGAAAGGCCCUGCUUUUGUGGGGUGCUCGAGUGGCGAACGGGUGAGUAACACGUGAGUAACCUGCCCUUGACUUUGGGAUAACUUCAGGAAACUGGGGCUAAUACCGGAUAGGAGCUCCUGCUGCAUGGUGGGGGUUGGAAAGUUUCGGCGGUUGGGGAUGGACUCCGGGGUUAUCAGCUUGUUGGUGGGGUAGUGGCUUACCAAGGCUUUGACGGGUAGCCGGCCUGAGAGGGUGACCGGCCACAUUGGGACUGAGAGACGGCCCAGACUCCUACGGGAGGCAGCAGUGGGGAAUAUUGCACAAUGGGCGGAAGCCUGAUGCAGCAACGCCGCGUGCGGGAUGACGGCCUUCGGGUUGUAAACCGAUUUCGCCUGUGACGAAGCGUGAGUGACGGUAAUGGGUAAAGAAGCACCGGCUAACUACGUG